Molecule: unclassified non-coding RNA, 24 nt
Filed under: Arabidopsis thaliana (thale cress)
Lineage: Eukaryota; Viridiplantae; Streptophyta; Magnoliopsida; Brassicales; Brassicaceae
Source: RNAcentral
UAAUGCUUCUAAAAGCCAACUCAA